Molecule: ribosomal RNA, 551 nt
Filed under: Trichoderma velutinum
Lineage: Eukaryota; Fungi; Ascomycota; Sordariomycetes; Hypocreales; Hypocreaceae
Description: eukaryotic LSU rRNA
Rfam family: 5.8S ribosomal RNA (bases 175-328)
Source: RNAcentral
ACGUUACCAAACUGUUGCCUCGGCGGGAUCUUCUGCCCCGGGUGCGUCGCAGCCCCGGACCAAGGCGCCCGCCGGAGGAAUCAACCAAAACUCUUAUUGUAUACCCCCUCGCGGGUUUUUUUUAUAAUCUGAGCCUUCUCGGCGCCUCUCGUAGGCGUUUCGAAAAUGAAUCAAAACUUUCAACAACGGAUCUCUUGGUUCUGGCAUCGAUGAAGAACGCAGCGAAAUGCGAUAAGUAAUGUGAAUUGCAGAAUUCAGUGAAUCAUCGAAUCUUUGAACGCACAUUGCGCCCGCCAGUAUUCUGGCGGGCAUGCCUGUCCGAGCGUCAUUUCAACCCUCGAACCCCUCCGGGGGGUCGGCGUUGGGGAUCGGCCUUCCUUCACGGGGGCCGUCUCCGAAAUACAGUGGCGGUCUCGCCGCAGCCUCUCCUGCGCAGUAGUUUGCACACUCGCAUCGGGAGCGCGGCGCGUCCACAGCCGUUAAACACCCAACUUCUGAAAUGUUGACCUCGGAUCAGGUAGGAAUACCCGCUGAACUUAAGCAUAUCAAUA